This 467-nucleotide ribosomal RNA is filed under the name uncultured bacterium. Its description in RNAcentral is "partial 16S ribosomal RNA". It matches the Rfam family "Bacterial small subunit ribosomal RNA", at positions 28 to 506 of the family's 1533-position model. The record is from RNAcentral.
GACGAACGCUGACGGCGUGCUUAACACAUGCAAGUCGAACGGAAAGGCCCUGCUUUUGUGGGGUGCUCGAGUGGCGAACGGGUGAGUAACACGUGAGUAACCUGCCCUUGACUUUGGGAUAACUUCAGGAAACUGGGGCUAAUACCGGAUAGGAGCUCCUGCUGCAUGGUGGGGGUUGGAAAGUUUCGGCGGUUGGGGAUGGACUCGCGGCUUAUCAGCUUGUUGGUGGGGUAGUGGCUUACCAAGGCUUUGACGGGUAGCCGGCCUGAGAGGGUGACCGGCGCCAUUGGGGAUGAGAGACGGCCCCGAGACCUCUGGGGGGGGGAGGAGGGGAAAAUUUCGCACAGGGGGGGGAAGCGAGACGGAAACGCGGCGUGCGGGGGAUGGGGGUCUGGGGUUUAAAACGCGUUUGCGUGUGAGAAAGAGCGAGGGAGAGGAAAGGGGGAAAAAGAACCCGGUAACACCGC